Long non-coding RNA from Homo sapiens (human), 731 nucleotides. The record is from Ensembl. NCBI's taxonomy places the organism in Eukaryota, Metazoa, Chordata, Mammalia, Primates, Hominidae.
AGAAGACCUCUGUUUCAAGUCUCUGGCUAACUAGCUAGGACAGGAGGUCUCGAUUCUGACUAAAUGUAAUUAUUGGAAUACUCCCAGUAUUGCUUUCUAAUGCAGAUAAAUCACUAUGAAAAGGAAACUAGAUGAAGGUUUAAUUUCUGAUUUUAUUUUCAAUUGAAUUUUGUCUGUUUAAUUGACACAUAUUCACAGAGUACACAGUGAUGUUUUGAAACAUAUAACGUACAGUGACUAAGACCAGGGUAAUUAGCACAUCCAUCAUCUCAAUCAUUUAUUAUUUGUGUUGGGAACAUUCAAUAUCCUCCUUUCAGGUGACCACCGACUGCAGACUGUAUUAACUGAAACUGGCCACAGCAAUGUUUCCUAUGUGCUUUUCCAGAAUCCUGCCACUUUUCAUCAAGAGCUGAAGUCUAUUCCCCUUCCUUCUCAACCUAGGUGAGACUUUGUGACUAUCUCCAACCUGUAGAAUGAGGUAGAAAUAAUGCUGCAUAACUUCAGAGACUAUGUCAUAAAAGGCCGUAUGGUUUCUGCCUGGUUCUUUUUCUCUUGUGACACUUGCCCUUGGAGACUCUGCCCACUGUGCUGUGAGGAAGCCUAAACUAGCACACAUGGAAAAGGCCACAUGGAGGAGCCCACCUGGAGAGGAACUGAGGCAUCCUUGGAUAAUGGCCAGCAUCAUCUGGCUGAGCCAGACAUGUGCGAACAAGCCUUCAGAACCUAAGUUU